AGGACGAACGCUGGCGGCGUGCUUAACACAUGCAAGUCGAGCGGUAAGGCUCCUUCGGGAGUACACGAGCGGCGAACGGGUGAGUAACACGUGGGCAACCUGCCCCUAGCACUGGGAUAACUCCGGGAAACCGGGGCUAAUACCGGAUACGACCUCUGAGGGCAUCCUCCGGAGGUGGAAAGCAUUGUGGCUAGGGAUGGGCCCGCGGCCUAUCAGCUUGUUGGUGAGGUAACGGCCCACCAAGGCGACGACGGGUAGCCGGCCUGAGAGGGCGACCGGCCACACUGGGACUGAGACACGGCCCAGACUCCUACGGGAGGCAGCAGUGGGGAAUAUUGCACAAUGGGCGAAAGCCUGAUGCAGCGACGCCGCGUGAGGGAUGACUGCCUUCGGGUUGUAAACCUCUUUCGGCAGGGACGAAGCGAAAGUGACGGUACCUGCAGAAGAAGCACCGGCAACUACGUGCCAGCAGCCGC
This 476-nucleotide ribosomal RNA is filed under the name uncultured bacterium. RNAcentral describes it as "SSU rRNA". It matches the Rfam family "Bacterial small subunit ribosomal RNA", at positions 26 to 518 of the family's 1533-position model. The record is from RNAcentral.